CCUACGGGGGGCAGCAGUGAGGAAUAUUGGUCAAUGGACGAGAGUCUGAACCAGCCAAGUAGCGUGAAGGAUGACUGCCCUAUGGGUUGUAAACUUCUUUUAUAUGGGAAUAAAAUGUUCCACGUGUGGGAUUUUGUAUGUACCAUAUGAAUAAGGAUCGGCUAACUCCGUGCCAGCAGCCGCGGUAAUACGGAGGAUCCGAGCGUUAUCCGGAUUUAUUGGGUUUAAAGGGAGCGUAGGUGGAUUGUUAAGUCAGUUGUGAAAGUUUGCGGCUCAACCGUAAAAUUGCAGUUGAAACUGGCAGUCUUGAGUACAGUAGGGGUGGGCGGAAUUCGUGGUGUAGCGGUGAAAUGCUUAGAUAUCACGAAGAACUCCGAUUGCGAAGGCAGUUCACUGGACUGCAACUGACACUGAGGCUCGAAAGUGUGGGUAUCAAACAGGAUUAGAUACACUAGUAGUC
RNAcentral lists this ribosomal RNA (460 nucleotides) under uncultured bacterium. RNAcentral describes it as "partial 16S ribosomal RNA". It matches the Rfam family "Bacterial small subunit ribosomal RNA", at positions 338 to 795 of the family's 1533-position model. The record is from RNAcentral.